AAGAACAAAACGUGAAAGUCAAUCCUUCAAUGUUUUGCAUUAGCCAGAUUGGCACCAUCAUUUACCCAGAAAAUCUCACCUUCCAAAAACCUCAUUUGUCCUUUGCUCCCCUCGACACCAUUUUCUUUCAGUCUUUAACAUCUUAAUCAACCUUCUUCUCACCCUUCUCCAACCCUCGUCACACGAACCGAGUGCGAAUUCAAACCAACAUGUCGAUGAGGUCUUGCUUCCUUUCUGACGUCUGCUGCUGUGCCACGGAUCCUGGUACUUGCGUCACCUUGCACUCCUCUCACAUUCAGUGGACGUCCCAUUCAUCCAGGAAGCGCCUUUCAUCGUUCUGGCCCACAAUGCACAGGAACUCUUACCAGCAUCUUUCCACAUCAUGACAUCUGACUUCAUACUUUUCUCAGUGAUAUCAGCACUGCAGAAAGGAGGAGACAGCUUUCCCCUCAGAGCAAACUCUGGCAAAGUGCUUGGAAAGGU
Hippocampus comes (tiger tail seahorse) is the source of this 483-nucleotide long non-coding RNA. RefSeq lists it as uncharacterized. The transcript is spliced from 3 exons. The record is from RefSeq and is a predicted model, not a curated record. NCBI's taxonomy places the organism in Eukaryota, Metazoa, Chordata, Actinopteri, Syngnathiformes, Syngnathidae.